RNAcentral lists this long non-coding RNA (883 nucleotides) under Olea europaea subsp. europaea. The record is from RNAcentral. Lineage: Eukaryota; Viridiplantae; Streptophyta; Magnoliopsida; Lamiales; Oleaceae.
CUUUUAGUCAUGUUUAUAAACACAAGCAACUUUUUAUUCACACGUUUCAAAUAAUUGAUUAGUAUUACUCAAUUAUCGAUAACUUAUUUUUAUCAAAUGCUUGUGAUAUUUGUACAAAGUUAAAGCCAGCAGAUAACUCUAAAAGUACAAGGGUGUAGGAAAAAGACUUUUCAUUUAGCCGUAACAGAUGUCUCUUAAUGUUAAAUUGCAGGGAAGAUUAGGAAGCCCUCUUGGGAGGAGCCAUAUUGCGCGUAAGAGAGGAGGUCACACCGAUUGUAACUAUCUGCACAAUUACUUCUGCAAAGUAGAUGGUGCAAUUCAAAAUAAUUUAAAAACAACCAUGUCGAACAUAAGGAUUAUAGCCAAGUUAAAUGAACAUACCAAAAAGAACAGCAGCAACCUUGAACAUCUUAGCCAUCGAUGUCUCCCACUUGCUGAAAUCUUCGAUGAGCUGUUCCAUAUAAGCAAGGUAAUGUAAUAAUGAAUAAUGAUAUUAAUAUUACAUUACCAUAUGUGCAUGUUACUGAAAUAAACCUCUUUAAGCUUUAAUGCUCCUAUUCUUUUCAAUUCUGCGAAGAACAAUUUUCAGUUUGAGAACAGAAUAUUCACUCACAAACUUGGAGAAUGGUGUUUCUCAUUGGUAUAAUAAUUAACAUUAUUUCCCUCUUUGUAACUUGCAUUAUGAUCGAUAAAUGCAUGUACUAGAACUACAGCGUAUUACCACAUCAAUAUCAAAACAAUAUACGAUUGAAGAAAACUCUGGACUAUUUUUACCUCAAAUAAUUUUUCACUCUUGACGAGAAAGGCUACUGAGAUUACAGCAGCAAUUACAAACCAAACAAAUACAGCUUCAGAAAGAUGCUGUGGCUUCACUUUCGACCUU